This 686-nucleotide long non-coding RNA is filed under the name Ananas comosus (pineapple). RNAcentral describes it as "long non-coding RNA (ACOM_LNC003994)". Lineage: Eukaryota; Viridiplantae; Streptophyta; Magnoliopsida; Poales; Bromeliaceae. The record is from RNAcentral.
GGUGGAGGUGGAGAGCGGAAAGUCGUUUUCGUCCUAAGCCAUUAUUUCUAUUGUUCGGUUCAUCAUAAAACGUUACGAUCGAAACUCGAGUUAAUCUGAAGUUGCGUAAUUGAUUUCGAUCUAUCGUAGGGCCGAGAUCAAUUACGAUAAAGGGGAUAAAGAAAAUAUAAUAAAAUAAUAUACUAAGCAAAGAUGGUUAUAUUUUAAAUAUAUUUAAUUAUAAUAUUAUUACUCUCUUAUUCAGUUGACAUAUUUAAAAUAUGAUAAAAAUUAAUUAGUUAAGUUUUAAUAUUUUAUUUAUUUAGUUUGUAUAAUUAAAAUAUGAUAAAAAUUGAUUAAUUAAAUAUUGAUAUAUAUUUAUUACGGUAAAGGGGAUAAAUAUUUUAUUUAUUUACUUGCUCUGGUCUAUGAACCGGGUCCAAGCAGGAGUUAUUUCGCAAUGAGCUAGGGCAUGGACCCGGUCCAAGUCUAGCCGAGUGCAUUGUUUAACUAUCAUAGUGGUGGUUUUGUUUUAUAUUAAGUUUGUUGUGAGUUUUCAGUAUUAGUAGUGUUGAGUGGAUGGAUAUUGGAGUGCAAAAAGAUUAUUAUAUGUCUUUUAUUUUAUUUUACAUAUAAAUAUAGACUGUCCGGUUUGUGAGAAUCCUUAUUGUUGCUAUUAUCGUUUCUUUUAAUUUUAUUUUUAUUUU